GAUCAUGGCUCAGGACGAACGCUGGCGGCGCGCCUAACACAUGCAAGUCGAACGAGCGAGAGAGAGCUUGUUUUCUCGAGCGAGUGGCGAACGGGUGAGUAACGCGUGAGGAACCUGCCUCAGAGAGGGGGACAACAGUUGGAAACGACUGCUAAUACCGCAUAAGCCCACGACCCGGCAUCGGGUAGAGGGAAAAGGAGCAAUCCGCUUUGAGAUGGCCUCGCGUCCGAUUAG
RNAcentral lists this ribosomal RNA (234 nucleotides) under uncultured bacterium. RNAcentral's name for it is "partial 16S ribosomal RNA". It matches the Rfam family "Bacterial small subunit ribosomal RNA", at positions 15 to 244 of the family's 1533-position model. The record is from RNAcentral.